AGCGAACGCUGGCGGCAGGCCUAACACAUGCAAGUCGAACGGAUCCUUCGGGAUUAGUGGCGGACGGGUGAGUAACGCGUGGGAACGUGCCCUUUGGUUCGGAACAACUCAGGGAAACUUGAGCUAAUACCGGAUGUGCCCUUCGGGGGAAAGAUUUAUCGCCAUUGGAGCGGCCCGCGUCUGAUUAGCUAGUUGGUGAGGUAACGGCCCACCAAGGCGACGAUCAGUAGCUGGUCUGAGAGGAUGAUCAGCCACACUGGGACUGAGACACGGCCCAGACUCCUACGGGAGGCAGCAGUGGGGAAUCUUGCGCAAUGGGCGAAAGCCUGACGCAGCCAUGCCGCGUGAAUGAUGAAGGUCUUAGGAUUGUAAAAUUCUUUCAGCGGGGACGAUAAUGACGGUACCCGCAGAAGAAGCUCCGGCUAACUUCGUG
Molecule: ribosomal RNA, 433 nt
Filed under: uncultured bacterium
Lineage: Bacteria
Description: partial 16S ribosomal RNA
Rfam family: Bacterial small subunit ribosomal RNA
Source: RNAcentral